Molecule: ribosomal RNA, 513 nt
Filed under: uncultured bacterium
Lineage: Bacteria
Description: partial 16S ribosomal RNA
Rfam family: Bacterial small subunit ribosomal RNA
Source: RNAcentral
GGGGAAUAUUGGACAAUGGGGGCAACCCUGAUCCAGCAAUGCCGCGUGUGUGAAGAAGGUUUUCGGAUUGUAAAGCACUUUCGACGGGGACGAUGAUGACGGUACCCGUAGAAGAAGCCCCGGCUAACUUCGUGCCAGCAGCCGCGGUAAUACGAAGGGGGCUAGCGUUGCUCGGAAUGACUGGGCGUAAAGGGCGUGUAGGCGGUUUGUACAGUCAGAUGUGAAAUCCCCGGGCUUAACCUGGGAGCUGCAUUUGAUACGUGCAGACUAGAGUGUGAGAGAGGGUUGUGGAAUUCCCAGUGUAGAGGUGAAAUUCGUAGAUAUUGGGAAGAACACCGGUGGCGAAGGCGGCAACCUGGCUCAUAACUGACGCUGAGGCGCGAAAGCGUGGGGAGCAAACAGGAUUAGAUACCCUGGUAGUCCACGCUGUAAACGAUGUGUGCUAGAUGUUGGGUAACUUAGUUAUUCAGUGUCGCAGUUAACGCGUUAAGCACACCGCCUGGGGAGUACGGC